UCGGUUGAUCCUGCCGGACCUGACUGCUAUCGGAUUGAUANUAAGCCNUGCGAGUCAUUGUAGUAAUNCAAGGCAGACGGCUCAGUAACGCGUAGUCAACCUACCCUAUGGACGGGGAUAACCUCGGGAAACUGAGAAUAAUACCCGAUAGAACAUUAUGCCUGGAAUGGUUUAUGUUUCAAAUAAUUUAUUGCCGUAGGAUGGGACUGCGGCCUAUCAGUUUGUUGGUGAGGUAAUGGCCCACCAAGACUAUUACAGGUACGGGCUCUGAGAGGAGUAGCCCGGAGAUGGGUACUGAGACACGGACCCAGGCCCUAUGGGGCGCAGCAGGCGAGAAAACUUUGCAAUGUGCGAAAGCACGACAAGGUUAAUCCGAGUGGUUUCUGCUAAAGGAACCUUUUGUCAGUCCUAGAAACACUGAUGAAUAAGGGGUGGGCAAGUUCUGGUGUCAGCCGCCGCGGUAAAACCAGCACCUCAAGUGGUCAGGAUGAUUAUUGGGCCUAAAGCAUCCGUAGCCUGCUUUGUAAGUUUUCGGUUAAAUCCAUACGCUCAACGUAUGGGCUGCCGGGAAUACUGCAAAGCUAGGGAGUGGGAGAGGUAGACGGUACUCGGUAGGAAGGGGUAAAAUCCUUUGAUCUAUUGAUGACCACCUGUGGCGAAGGCGGUCUACCAGAACACGUCCGACGGUGAGGGAUGAAAGCUGGGGGAGCAAACCGGAUUAGAUACCCGGGUAGUCCCAGCUGUAAACUAUGCAAACUCAGUGAUGCAUUGGCUUGAUGCCAAUGCAGUGCUGCAGGGAAGCCGUUAAGUUUGCCGCCUGGGAAGUACGUACGCAAGUAUGAAACUUAAAGGAAUUGGCGGG
RNAcentral lists this ribosomal RNA (862 nucleotides) under uncultured archaeon. Its description in RNAcentral is "bacterial SSU rRNA". It matches the Rfam family "Archaeal small subunit ribosomal RNA", at positions 4 to 872 of the family's 1478-position model. The record is from RNAcentral.